Molecule: ribosomal RNA, 897 nt
Filed under: Purpureocillium lilacinum
Lineage: Eukaryota; Fungi; Ascomycota; Sordariomycetes; Hypocreales; Ophiocordycipitaceae
Description: LSU rRNA
Rfam family: Eukaryotic large subunit ribosomal RNA
Source: RNAcentral
GCAUAUCAAUAAGCGGAGGAAAAGAAACCAACAGGGAUUGCCCCAGUAACGGCGAGUGAAGCGGCAACAGCUCAAAUUUGAAAUCUGGCCCCCAGGGCCCGAGUUGUAAUUUGCAGAGGAUGCUUUUGGCGCGGUGCCUUCCGAGUUCCCUGGAACGGGACGCCAUAGAGGGUGAGAGCCCCGUCUGGUCGGACGCCUAGCCUGUGUAAAGCUCCUUCGACGAGUCGAGUAGUUUGGGAAUGCUGCUCUAAAUGGGAGGUAUAUGUCUUCUAAAGCUAAAUACCGGCCAGAGACCGAUAGCGCACAAGUAGAGUGAUCGAAAGAUGAAAAGCACUUUGAAAAGAGGGUUAAAUAGUACGUGAAAUUGUUGAAAGGGAAGCGCUUGUGACCAGACUUGGGCCCGGUGGAUCAUCCAGCGUUCUCGCUGGUGCACUCCGCCGGGUUCAGGCCAGCAUCAGUUCGCCGCGGGGGAAAAAGGCUUCGGGAACGUGGCUCCUACGGGAGUGUUAUAGCCCGUUGCAUAAUACCCUGGGGCGGACUGAGGUUCGCGCUCCGCAAGGAUGCUGGCGUAAUGGUCAUCAGCGACCCGUCUUGAAACACGGACCAAGGAGUCGUCUUCGUAUGCGAGUGUUCGGGUGUAAAACCCCUACGCGUAAUGAAAGUGAACGCAGGUGAGAGCUUCGGCGCAUCAUCGACCGAUCCUGAUGUUCUCGGAUGGAUUUGAGUAAGAGCAUACGGGGCCGGACCCGAAAGAAGGUGAACUAUGCCUGUAUAGGGUGAAGCCAGAGGAAACUCUGGUGGAGGCUCGCAGCGGUUCUGACGUGCAAAUCGAUCGUCAAAUAUGGGCAUGGGGGCGAAAGACUAAUCGAACCUUCUAGUAGCUGGUUUCCGCCGAAG